UACGUAGGGUGCAAGCGUUAAUCGGAAUUACUGGGCGUAAAGCGUGCGCAGGCGGUUAUGUAAGUCAGGUGUGAAAUCCCCGGGCUUAACCUGGGAACUGCAUUUGGGACUGCAAGGCUCGAGUGCGGCAGAGGAGACUGGAAUUCCUGGUGUAGCAGUGAAAUGCGUAGAUAUCAGGAGGAAUACCGAUGGCGAAGGCGGUUCUCUGGGCAUGUCCUGACGCUGAGGAGCGAAAGUGUGGGGAGCGAACAGG
This 253-nucleotide ribosomal RNA is filed under the name uncultured bacterium. Its description in RNAcentral is "partial 16S ribosomal RNA". It matches the Rfam family "Bacterial small subunit ribosomal RNA", at positions 524 to 776 of the family's 1533-position model. The record is from RNAcentral.